AGGAAAAGUAGUUUGUAGAGGUAGGAGAGCCACUUCUAUUCUCUUCUCCUUCAGUACAAAGAGCCAUUAGGAAAUGGAAGUAUGAAGAGGCAUUUGGAGAUGGAACGUAAGAAACUUUCUCCUCUCCUUGAGUAACAAGAGCCAUUUGUAGCUGAAAGUUCAGUGAAUUAAUACCUAAAGUGGAUACACAGCUGUUCAUCUUUGCAAGUGCACAAGUAUGAUGGCAUAGAACCUACAGUAUAUAUCAUGCCCAGCCCAGGUCAUCAGGAUAUCUAUUCACCUUAUUUUUUUUUUCCAAAUGAGAUGCUUCUACUGAAUAUAGAUGGCUCAGGGUUGAGAUUGGACUUUUUUCACCUUCCAGAUGAAUCAGUUGCUUCUCCAUGCAUGCCCAAGCCACUGCCUGCUUGUCCCUCAGCAGGCAUUUCCAAAUGAAAUGAAAGAAACAGACACCAGGGAAUCAAAGGUUGAUGAGCCUUUUGUUUAGCCUGAGAACCAUUACUGAGUUUCUCUUCUGUUGGUUCCUGCUCAGUCUGCCUUAGUGCUGUUUCAGCUGGUGAAUAAUGACUCAUUUAUGAAUAAUAGCCUUGCUCAUCUUCAGAACAACUGUUAG
Passer montanus (Eurasian tree sparrow) is the source of this 610-nucleotide long non-coding RNA. RefSeq lists it as uncharacterized. The record is from RefSeq and is a predicted model, not a curated record. NCBI's taxonomy places the organism in Eukaryota, Metazoa, Chordata, Aves, Passeriformes, Passeridae. The transcript has 4 exons.